UACAGAGGGUGCAAGCGUUAAUCGGAUUUACUGGGCGUAAAGCGUGCGUAGGCGGUUCGCUAAGUCGGUUGUGGAAUCCCUGGGCUUAACCUGGGAACUGCAGUCGAUACUGGCGGACUAGAGUACGGUAGAGGGUGGCGGAACUCCGGGUGUAGCGGUGAAAUGCGUAGAUAUCGUCAAGAACACCGAUAGUGAAGACAGUUUACUAGGCUUCUACUGACGCUGAGGCACGAAAGUGUGGGGAUCAAACAGG
This 253-nucleotide ribosomal RNA is filed under the name uncultured bacterium. RNAcentral's name for it is "partial 16S ribosomal RNA". It matches the Rfam family "Bacterial small subunit ribosomal RNA", at positions 524 to 776 of the family's 1533-position model. The record is from RNAcentral.